UUUGGUUUAGUGUUUAAGAUUCAAGUUGAGAUUCGGGGUUUAGGGUCAGGGUUCAAGGUUCGAGUACGAGGUUCAAGUUUAAAUACGAAAAUCUACAUAGCAAUCCAUGCAUACUUUAUGCUAAUUUUAUGAUUCUUUUUAUUUUAUUUUUUGAAUUUUGAAAUUUUUUUACUUUUUAAUAUUUUAUAAUUUUUAAAUAUUAUCAUAUCAACAUGUGGAUUGUCAUGCAAG
RNAcentral lists this long non-coding RNA (231 nucleotides) under Gossypium raimondii (Peruvian cotton). RNAcentral describes it as "long non-coding RNA (GRAI_LNC002550)". The record is from RNAcentral. Lineage: Eukaryota; Viridiplantae; Streptophyta; Magnoliopsida; Malvales; Malvaceae.